Non-coding RNA from Anolis sagrei ordinatus, 297 nucleotides. The record is from RefSeq and is a predicted model, not a curated record. NCBI's taxonomy places the organism in Eukaryota, Metazoa, Chordata, Lepidosauria, Squamata, Anolidae.
UCUUGCCCUCGUCCGCCGCCCUUCGCCUGGGAGGCUCCUUAUCCCCCGCCCGAAGGGAGGCUGAGCAUGCAAGGCGAGCCUUGGGGGCUGCGGAGGUGCUUCUUUCCGACACCGGGGAGGGAACGGGCAAACUACAACUGGCAGAACUGGACAUUAGGAAAAGCUUCUUGACGAAACAAGAGAAAAUAAGACAAAGAAAAUGGAUUCCAACAAAUCUGCACCUGAACCACCACCUCCAGCAUAUUCAGGACCAGCGCCACCAUAUCCAGCUCCCCCUAACCAACAGGGAUUUCCACC